This 465-nucleotide ribosomal RNA is filed under the name uncultured Klebsiella sp. RNAcentral describes it as "bacterial SSU rRNA". It matches the Rfam family "Bacterial small subunit ribosomal RNA", at positions 338 to 795 of the family's 1533-position model. The record is from RNAcentral. Lineage: Bacteria; Pseudomonadati; Pseudomonadota; Gammaproteobacteria; Enterobacterales; Enterobacteriaceae.
CCUACGUGUGGCUGCAGUGGGGAAUAUUGCACAAUGGGCGCAAGCCUGAUGCAGCCAUGCCGCGUGUGUGAAGAAGGCCUUCGGGUUGUAAAGCACUUUCAGCGGGGAGGAAGGCGGUGAGGUUAAUAACCUCAUCGAUUGACGUUACCCGCAGAAGAAGCACCGGCUAACUCCGUGCCAGCAGCCGCGGUAAUACGGAGGGUGCAAGCGUUGAUCGGAAUUACUGGGCGUAAAGCGCACGCAGGCGGUCUGUCAAGUCGGAUGUGAGAUCCCCGGGCUCAACCUGGGAACUGCAUUCGAAACUGGCAGGCUAGAGUCUUGUAGAGGGGGGUAGAAUUCCAGGUGUAGCGGUGAAAUGCGUAGAGAUCUGGAGGAAUACCGGUGGCGAAGGCGGCCCCCUGGACAAAGACUGACGCUCAGGUGCGAAAGCGUGGGGAGCAAACAGGAUUAGAUACCCUUGUAGUC